Molecule: small nucleolar RNA, 185 nt
Organism: Lemur catta (Ring-tailed lemur)
Lineage: Eukaryota; Metazoa; Chordata; Mammalia; Primates; Lemuridae
Product: small nucleolar RNA SNORA81
Exons: 1
Source: RefSeq, a predicted model, not a curated record
UUUAUCUUGUUUAAGCUCUGUACUAAAGUUACAGAAACUAAUAUUGUGUCUUAGCAUUUGGAAUGAAGCUAGCAGAGAAACACAAGAAAAAAAAAACUGAACAACUGUAACAGAUAGGAGAAAAAUUGAGUUGAACCUCUUUCUUAAGUCUAGAGUACAUUGUUCUAAGAUUUGGUACAAUAAUA